UCUCAGUGCUGGUCCUUGGGAAUUAAACAAAAGAAGAAAGAAAUCUAUGGAACUUCAGUGAGCCAUUAACAAGUUUCACAAAUGAAUUUGCAAAGCAAAAAUUGUCAUUUCUUACUGAAUCCUAGCCAUGUAAGUGUAUACUGCUCAUGUUCUUUUUCUGGAAUAACAAAUUUUGUGUGUCAAUGUACUUGGAAUCGUAGAGAUGUAAAUAAUUUCUAACAUGGAAGGAUACUCUUCUAACUGUGAAAGUACUUUGAAAAGCGUGUAACAAUUGCCAGCUACUGUUAGUAGAGGGAAGCUAUUACAACCAGAAGCUAAUUCAAAAAAUGCUUCUUCUGAGCAUGUCAGCAGUAUCUUCUUUCUGGUAUCUACGCUUUGCUUAUUAGAAUGAAUUUAACUCUCAGUACUUCUCCACCAGUGUUGAAUUGGUUCCCUCACCCCUUAACAUUGUCAACAUGUUCUCAUUAUUAUAACCUUGAAUUUUAAUAGUAUGCGUAAGGUAAAAUGCAAGAGUGUGCCUGGCAGAAAAGUCUUUUGAAUGUGAGUCUAAUAAAGUGUGUCUGCCCUAGUGCACUGCUAAUGAAUUUAGGGAAGAAAGACAUAUAAAGAAAAAAGGCAGUCAUUACACAGACAUAUACUGGAACUGAGCAACAAGAGACUAGGUGCUAAUGUUGUCAUAAUUGAUAUCAAAAGAUAAAACUAGCAAUUAUCUGGAUUACCAAGAAAGGAGAAAGCAGGGGCUUCUCUUUCAAGGUUAGCCUAAAAUGCAAGUUGUGAUGGAUUGUCUUUUAGUCAAGCACCAGAUUCUGCUGGGCCUUUGCCCACCAGACUCACUGCCCCAGACACAUGACAAGAGCCUUGGCCUCAGCCUGUGUUCCAGCCAUUGAUGUGGGGGGGGUUAACCUUGGCUGUGGGGCCAAGCACCCACCCAGCGCCUCGCUCACUUCCCCUCCUCUGCGAGAUGGGAGAAGCAGCUCGGAUGAGAAAACUUACGGGUAGAGAUAAAGACAGAGAGAUCACUUAACAAUUACUGGCACAGGCAAACCAGACUUGAACUGGGGAAAAUUAUUUUAGUUUGCUGUCAAUUCAAUAGGUUCAGGUAGUGGAAAACAAGAAAGCAAAUGUUAAAACAUUUCACCCCCGCUUUCCUAGGCUCAACUUCACUCCGUCACUCCCAACACCUUGACCCAUCCCCCGACGUGGUGCAGGAGGGAUGGGGGGUGGUGGGGAGGUCUGCUGCUCCUCCUCAUAACUUUCCCCUGCUCCGCGGUGGGUUCCUUCCGGAAAUAAAUUUAUCCCACCAUGGUCUCCUCCAUGAGCUGCAGGAGAAUCUCUGCUCCAUGUUGGAGCACCUCCUCCCUUUCUUGCUUCUCUGACCUUGGUGUUCCCUCUGCUGUUUCUUGCUCUUUCCCCCCACCUCCUCCUGCUCUGCCUAUACAUCAUUUUUUCCCCUGUCUUAGGUACAGUUUCACACAGGUGCCACCAUCUUUGCUCUGCAAUGGUCCAUUGGAGCUGGCUGGAAUUGUCCGUGUCCAGCACAGAGCAGCCCUGGCCUCUCCUCACUGAGGCCACUCCUGCAGCGCUGCCCCCUGCCACUCCCAAAACCUUGUUGAUGGUGCCUAAUACAGGAUGUAACUGCUUUUCACCAGUUAAAGAGAUCCAGCUGGCCAAGUGCAACCUGUUCUCCCAAGCAGUGCAAGUCUCCCAAGGGUUUUCUCGUCUGCUUCUUAGAAAACCACCACUACAAAACCACCUGGUGAUUUCUCAGGCAAUACAGACAGCGCAUCUCUCAUGUGCUGGAAGAAUCAAAGCUACUGAUGGAAACAACAUAUUGAUUAUCUAACCUCCCUCUGGCAGUGCCUUUCUAAUACCUUUCCCAGCUUUUCAGCCCUCCCAAGAAAGAAAGCUUACGUGCCUUUAUGCAUACAAAAAGCCAAGAAGUAUAUUAAAUAUUUUUGAGCAGCACCUACGGGCAUUUUACAUAUUUUGAACUGCUCACAUCUACGCAGAUUACACAGACCUCCAAAUCAGCAUGAAAAACGGAGGUAUCUAUAAGCUAACUUUCCAGACUUGAUUUUCAUUUUUGUAUGCUUAUUAGUUAAGGACAAAUAUGUGCAGUAUCCAAGCCGUCUCUAUGCUGUAACAUCCUUUUCUCUAAAAGAACAUAUUUACAGAGAACUUAAUGAGACAGCUUCUGCUUUUGGCCUGUGUGUUAACCAAUUCUGCGAUGCUGAAGCUGGUUUGUAGACAGCUGUCCUUCUGUUGUCACCGCUAAAAAAAAAAAUUAAAAAUGUCUCUGCUCUGGUCUUGGAGCUGCAUCAUCAACUUUUUCUAGAGGUACCUGGGUGAGCAGCAGGAUGCUUUUCUGCAGUGCUGACAGGUACCGCUGCUGCAUUAUGUCCCAGAUUCUCUCCGCGAUGGGAACCUUCCUCAGUGGCAUACGGCUGCAGCAAACGUGCCAGUACUCCAGGAACAAAAGCAAAAUGCUGCCAAAAGAGGAAAAAAGUCCAUUAAAGAAUAUUUCUGCAUGUGGCAGUGAGAAAAUAUUAUCAGUGUCAUUAAUGACACAUGAUGAAAACAUACAGAGGAAUGAUAAGAAGACUUUUAACCUUUAUUCAGAAUUCAUUUAUAGCCCAAGUACCUGGAACUUGAUUUAAAUGGGAAUGAGGAAUAUCUGGAAAUUGCUAUAUUACAAGGAACAUCUAGUCUUGAAAAAUGGCACAGAAGUUAUUAUGAAGUCACAUAAAUGUCAAAAAACUUCAUGUGGGCUGUGGGCAUGUGUCACUGAAGAUGCUGAAGAUUUUCUUCUGUGCUUAUGUCAGUGCUGGGAGAGGGAGAUUGAAAUACAGUCUCGAUGAGAAUUUACAUCCUUCUGCAAAAAGCUGAAAUCCUACUUAAGUGAAUUUCAUUGCGACUGGUAUUAACAAUGCAGAUUAAGGCUCAAGUUACUCUUUCCUGGGAAUGAUGGCUCUCAUUCUAUCAAAGUGCACCGGCUAACCUGUAACUGUGAUGUGUGCCUGGUUCCUGUGUUAAAUGCAUUUGGAGAAGAAUAAAUUUUCAAGAAUGACACGUUUUUCUCUGCUCGUACAUUUUGUUUUGUGUUGUGUAAAAUCUGAACACACCUUACCUUGCAUCUGAAAUCUCCUUAUUGUAAUGAAAACAGAAGUUUUACUUUUGAAGCAUAUAUUUUAAAUGCCAGCUUCCUCUAAUUUGCCUCUUCUGUCCAUCCACUGGUUCUAGAAUAACUUUCUGUAGUGGAUCACUGGAAGUAGUGAUGGAGAGUCAGUUCUUACUGUGACAUUCUUGUCCUUUCAAUUUGUCACUCUUAACAAAAAAAUCUUUUCCCAAUAUUACUUUCAAACACACAGACUGGCAAGCUUUGAGAAGAAGAACUUACGGAGUUUAUCACAACUUCCGGCUAUCGGGAUUCCACUGGGAAAUAUUUUCUUGUAAUCAAAUGUUUGACAUCUGAUGCUUUCAAGAUAUUAUUUAGCUAGAUUAUUUCCAAGGGUAUUUCCAAGACUUUCCUGUAUGUUGAAGUUUGCCACAUUCAGAUGUAUUGCAGACUGUUGUUUCAUGUAAGCAUAUCCAGGCAUCUGGACCUGGAUUGAAAUCUUGAACUGUAGUCUGUAUUGUGAAUUUUACAUACUUUGAUACUUAAAUUGAGUAAAUGAGCUGGAAUAAGUGCCCUUUUUCCCCACUGCUGUCAUCAUUUUUUAUGAAAACGGCCUGAAAUGCAUCAGAGGUGGACUUCUAGACACUCUCAGCACAGUGGGAAAUAGUUUUACUCCCUCAGGAGUUGCACACAUACACAGACUUUGUAAAGUAAUGAAGCCAAUUCAUAUACAUCAGUGUUUUUAUUUGAAGGGUCUGUCAAAAUUAAAUUCUUAAGAAGGCAACUGUAGACAUCUGCUACAUGUGCAGCAGUGGUGACACAGCCAGGGUUUACUAUGAUCUUCUACGUGUUACAGCUUUAAGCAAAAGGACGUAUUGGCAAUUAGGUUUUCUGCAUAAUAGGCAGACAAUGCAAAGCACAAAGCUGGAAUUCUGUAUUGUGGUAGAAAUGCUCAAUGUCACCAGAGCUAUUGACUUUUCCCACCUGGCUUGCAGGCAUUUGGAGAGAAAUAACAUAUGUGCCGUAUUGUAAAAUGUGGACUUAAUGAACACACAGGCGUUAUGUUACACAAAAUGUAACAAUAGACGUGAUGGCAAGCUACUUAAGAACAUGUCACAAUGUUUUGUUAGUAACUGAUUUGCCUUUGGCAAUAUUUUGAGGAAGA
Chroicocephalus ridibundus (black-headed gull) is the source of this 4280-nucleotide long non-coding RNA. RefSeq lists it as uncharacterized. The transcript has 3 exons. The record is from RefSeq and is a predicted model, not a curated record. NCBI's taxonomy places the organism in Eukaryota, Metazoa, Chordata, Aves, Charadriiformes, Laridae.